CUUCGCCGAUAUAUGAAUGACUAUGUUAUCUGCAAUAGUUGCAAGGGCCGACAUACACGCAUUGAAAAGGAUAAGGAGAACCGUCUGACGUUCCUCAACUGUGACGAGUGCGGUUCUCAAAGGUCCGUCGCUCCAAUUAAGGCCGGCUUCGUCGCUCGGGUCGGUCGCAGGAAGGCUGAAAUCUAGCAGAAAAGGGACGGAGAAAAAAAGACAUGAUCGUUUGCAUUCAGAAACCCUAC
Long non-coding RNA from Helianthus annuus (common sunflower), 239 nucleotides. RefSeq lists it as uncharacterized. The transcript has 3 exons. The record is from RefSeq and is a predicted model, not a curated record. NCBI's taxonomy places the organism in Eukaryota, Viridiplantae, Streptophyta, Magnoliopsida, Asterales, Asteraceae.